AUGGUUGCCAAGAAGAAGUCUGCUGUGGCCCCAACUGAAGCUCCACGGCGGGAAGAACCUCACAUUGUCUUCCCUACCAGCAUGACAGGCACGAAGCCUAAGGUCCCCAGAGCAGCUUCAGAACAGAAGAAAACCAGGGCAGCCGAAGCCGAAGCCAGAAAACGCAAAAUCAAGAACAACACUAAUGAUGCACCACCCCUCAAGAAGAGGAAAACCAAGAAGAGAGAUCGGUCUGCUACCAAAGAGCCCCUUGUUGUCGAGCCCAUUGCUUUUGCUCCCCCUGCAUCUGAAAAUCAAGAGCGUUAG
RNAcentral lists this ribosomal RNA (306 nucleotides) under Triticum aestivum (bread wheat). RNAcentral's name for it is "partial small subunit ribosomal RNA". Lineage: Eukaryota; Viridiplantae; Streptophyta; Magnoliopsida; Poales; Poaceae. The record is from RNAcentral.